Molecule: transfer RNA, 67 nt
Filed under: Anisodactylus poeciloides
Lineage: Eukaryota; Metazoa; Arthropoda; Insecta; Coleoptera; Carabidae
Also listed under: 1 other name
Description: tRNA-Ile
Source: RNAcentral
AAUGAAGUGCCUGAUUUAAAAGGAUUAUUUUGAUAGAAUAAAUUAUGUAAAAUUUUUACCUUCAUUA